UCACAUCAAAGAAUCUUUUUAUGGCUGCAGAAGUAGUACAUGGAAAGAGGGAAAGAAAGAAUUUUGUUGAUUAGUGAAUGUGUUUUCAUACGUACCUUUUCUUAUGGAAAUUGAUCUUGUAUACAAAAGAAAUUCUUAAAUUGGAUUUUUACCAAAUUUCCCUUUGUACAAAAGAAUAUGUAAAAACCUUUAUUUUCUCUGAAAAAUUCAAGUCAAUCAAAAGAUUUAGAGAAAGAGAACACUUUCUAGAAAAUGGUUAUGAAACGUACCUUUGGAUUCUUUUAUGCCAAAAU
RNAcentral lists this long non-coding RNA (293 nucleotides) under Olea europaea (common olive). RNAcentral's name for it is "long non-coding RNA (OEUR_LNC009423)". Lineage: Eukaryota; Viridiplantae; Streptophyta; Magnoliopsida; Lamiales; Oleaceae. The record is from RNAcentral.